RNAcentral lists this ribosomal RNA (497 nucleotides) under uncultured bacterium. RNAcentral's name for it is "partial 16S ribosomal RNA". It matches the Rfam family "Bacterial small subunit ribosomal RNA", at positions 28 to 507 of the family's 1533-position model. The record is from RNAcentral.
GAUGAACGCUGGCGGCGUGCCUAAUACAUACAAGUCGAGCGAACAGACGAGGAGCUUGCUCCUCUGACGUUAGCGGCGGACGGGUGAGUAACACGUGGAUAACCUACCUAUAAGACUGGGAUAACUUCGGGAAACCGGAGCUAAUACCGGAUAAUAUAUUGAACCGCAUGGUUCAAUAGUGAAAGACGGUUUUGCUGUCACUUAUAGAUGGAUCCGCGCCGCAUUAGCUAGUUGGUAAGGUAACGGCUUACCAAGGCAACGAUGCGUAGCCGACCUGAGAGGGUGAUCGGCCACACUGGAACUGAGACACGGUCCAGACUCCUACGGGAGGCAGCAGUAGGGAAUCUUCCGCAAUGGGCGAAAGCUUGACGGAGCAACGCCGCGUGAGUGAUGAAGGCCUUCGGAUCGUAAAACUCUGUUAUUAGGGAAGAACAAAUGUGUAAGUAACUAUGCACGUCUUGACGGUACCUAAUCAGAAAGCCACGGCUAACUACGUG